RNAcentral lists this ribosomal RNA (461 nucleotides) under uncultured bacterium. RNAcentral's name for it is "partial 16S ribosomal RNA". It matches the Rfam family "Bacterial small subunit ribosomal RNA", at positions 338 to 795 of the family's 1533-position model. The record is from RNAcentral.
CCUACGGGAGGCAGCAGUGAGGAAUAUUGGUCAAUGGGCGGAAGCCUGAACCAGCCAAGUCGCGUGAGGGAAUAAGGCCCUACGGGUCGUAAACCUCUUUUGCCGGGGAGCAAGGGCGGGGACGUGUCCCGGCCCGGAGAGUACCCGGAGAAAAAGCCCCGGCUAACUACGUGCCAGCAGCCGCGGUAAUACGUAGGGGGCGAGCGUUAUCCGGAUUUACUGGGUGUAAAGGGAGCGUAGACGGUUCUGCAAGUCUGAAGUGAAAGCCCGUGGCUUAACCGCGGAACGGCUUUGGAAACUGUGGAACUGGAGUGCUGGAGAGGCAAGCGGAAUUCCUAGUGUAGCGGUGAAAUGCGUAGAUAUUAGGAGGAACACCAGUGGCGAAGGCGGCUUGCUGGACAGUAACUGACGUUGAGGCUCGAAAGUGUGGGUAUCAAACAGGAUUAGAUACCCCAGUAGUC